RNAcentral lists this ribosomal RNA (254 nucleotides) under uncultured bacterium. RNAcentral describes it as "partial 16S ribosomal RNA". It matches the Rfam family "Bacterial small subunit ribosomal RNA", at positions 524 to 776 of the family's 1533-position model. The record is from RNAcentral.
UACGUAGGGUGCGAGCGUUGUCCGGAAUUAUUGGGCGUAAAGAGCUCGUAGGCGGUGUGUCGCGUCGGCCGUGAAAACCUGGGGCUCAACUCUGGGCGUGCGGUCGAUACGGGCAUCACUGGAGUUCGGCAGGGGAGACUGGAAUUCCUGGUGUAGCGGUGAAAUGCGCAGAUAUCAGGAGGAACACCGGUGGCGAAGGCGGGUCUCUGGGAAUAUCCUGACGCUGAGGAGCGAAAGUGUGGGGAGCGAACAGG